CAACUGAAACUGCAUGUCUGGAAAGGAGAGGGUAAGGGCUGUUACCCAAACCACCAAUUGCUUUAAAAAAGUUUUCUAAGUUGAGAUUUCAUUCAUAGUGAAGAGUGAGGAGAGACCAGGGUCACAAUGAGUACUGACAACAGAGAAACAUCAUCAUCAUCAUCAUGCAUUUCUGGAAUGCAUGCCGGUUGCCUAAGAAUUUACUGAAUACCUCCAGAGAGUUGGACCAAACAGACCAGACUAAGGAUAAAACUGUCAACUUCUUGCCAGAUGAGUUCAAUCCUAUAUGAAGUCACAAGAAGAAAAAAGGAUGAUAAACUGGUUUAUUCCUCACAGCUAAUGUGUUACAAGACUUAUGCCUUCUAGAGGAGGCACAUCCAGAUUCCAGAACAGUUACUGCAAUGGGGUCCUGAACCACAGGAAAUUCACCAACAGCCACUACUGUGGGGUAAACUGAAAUGGAGCACACAAAAUCCUUACAUGGGCAGAAAAAACUGGAUAAAAACCUAAUGAAUAAAGCACAACUGUAAAAAAUCCAA
This is a long non-coding RNA of Ornithorhynchus anatinus (platypus), 539 nucleotides long. RefSeq lists it as uncharacterized. The record is from RefSeq and is a predicted model, not a curated record. Lineage: Eukaryota; Metazoa; Chordata; Mammalia; Monotremata; Ornithorhynchidae. The transcript has 4 exons.